RNAcentral lists this ribosomal RNA (530 nucleotides) under Streptomyces gougerotii. RNAcentral describes it as "bacterial SSU rRNA". It matches the Rfam family "Bacterial small subunit ribosomal RNA", at positions 31 to 578 of the family's 1533-position model. The record is from RNAcentral. Lineage: Bacteria; Bacillati; Actinomycetota; Actinomycetes; Kitasatosporales; Streptomycetaceae.
GAACGCUGGCGGCGUGCUUAACACAUGCAAGUCGAACGAUGAAGCCUUUCGGGGUGGAUUAGUGGCGAACGGGUGAGUAACACGUGGGCAAUCUGCCCUGCACUCUGGGACAAGCCCUGGAAACGGGGUCUAAUACCGGAUAUGACUGCCUAUCGCAUGGUGGGUGGUGUAAAGCUCCGGCGGUGCAGGAUGAGCCCGCGGCCUAUCAGCUUGUUGGUGAGGUAGUGGCUUACCAAGGCGACGACGGGUAGCCGGCCUGAGAGGGCGACCGGCCACACUGGGACUGAGACACGGCCCAGACUCCUACGGGAGGCAGCAGUGGGGAAUAUUGCACAAUGGGCGCAAGCCUGAUGCAGCGACGCCGCGUGAGGGAUGACGGCCUUCGGGUUGUAAACCUCUUUCAGCAGGGAAGAAGCGUGAGUGACGGUACCUGCAGAAGAAGCGCCGGCUAACUACGUGCCAGCAGCCGCGGUAAUACGUAGGGCGCAAGCGUUGUCCGGAAUUAUUGGGCGUAAAGAGCUCGUAGGCGG